This 66-nucleotide small nuclear RNA is filed under the name Salvator merianae (Argentine black and white tegu). Lineage: Eukaryota; Metazoa; Chordata; Lepidosauria; Squamata; Teiidae. The record is from RNAcentral.
GUGCUCACUUCAGGAGCACAUAUACUAAGAUUGGAAUGAUAUAGAGUAACUUAGCAUGGUCCCUGC